GACGAACGCUGGCGGCGUGCUUAACACAUGCAAGUCGAGCGGUAAGGCCCUUUCGGGGGUACGACGAGCGGCGAACGGGUGAGUAACACGUGGGUGACCUGCCCUCAGCUCUGGGAUAAGCCUGGGAAACCGGGUCUAAUACUGGAUAUGACUCCAUGACGCAUGUUGUGGGGUGGAAAGCCUUGUGCGGCUGAGGAUGGGCCCGCGGCCUAUCAGCUUGUUGGUGGGGGAUGGCCUACCAAGGCGACGACGGGUAGCCGGCCUGAGAGGGCGACCGGCCACACUGGGACUGAGACACGGCCCAGACUCCUACGGGAGGCAGCAGUGGGGAAUCUUGCGCAAUGGGCGAAAGCCUGACGCAGCGACGCCGCGUGAGGGAUGACGGCCUGG
Molecule: ribosomal RNA, 390 nt
Filed under: uncultured bacterium
Lineage: Bacteria
Description: bacterial SSU rRNA
Rfam family: Bacterial small subunit ribosomal RNA
Source: RNAcentral